UUGCUUCUUCACGGAUAGGAACACGAAGUGGUGUUGUGAGAUACGACAAGUUCUUCUGCACCUUUUCACAGGCGAGCCCACCCCUUCACCUAUUUUACUUUUACAUGCUCUUUUGAUCUAUUGCUAUCCUUAUGUUGCGAUUCUGUUGUGUCACGUGUCCUAUCCACCUGUUACCGAUAUGUCCGAGAUACACCUCCUCGCCCUACCUAUUGUUUGUUGUUUGCCAGCUUUGCGAGUCGUAGGCGAGUUUAGGGUCUUGUUGAUAUCUCGAGAUGUUCGGGAUAUCUUGUUGGGAAGUUGACACAUGUACCACCUUUUGAAAAUGAUGUUGAUAACUUUUGCUACAACUAAAAUUGCUAAGGGAUAAUAACAUUGCAGAGGCAUCUGUGAGCCCCUUUGCGAAAGCAUUGGAACUUUGACUCGCUAAUGUCCCCUAGGACCCGAGUUCUUGUUAUCUGUUCCGAGAUUGAGCGCUCUACCCGUACGUGGGGACCAUUAUCGGGACCCCCCUCACCCUUUACCUUUUCUCAAGUUAGUUGAAAAGGGGGCCACAACCUUGGUUUUAUUUGCCUAUGCCAUGUAUGCCAUGCUUUACUUACUGUUGCCUUCGGGUGUUUACUUCCUGUUGCCUUCGGGUGUUUAUAUUCUGUACUGUACCCCGCGGAACGUUUAGCGAAGCGUGUGGUUUGCACGCCUAGCCGUUAAUGCAAACCCUGAGUCCGCUUCGGAGUACGGCCGGACUUCGUUACGGGUAGCUUAGUCGGGUGGCCCCCCUAGACUUUCUUGUUGAACUGGGAACGGUCUUGUUGUGAGACAUCCACCUGUCGUAAGUGGGUCGAGCAUGCGUAUGGUUACAUUUGGGCAACCCCUGCAGGGUGUACAUCUUAUCGAUAAGCCGUGUCCACGGUUAUGGACGACUUGGAAUUGUAUAGCUUGAUCAUAGAACAACUUACACCUUAUUUCCUGUUGCUAAUAAAAAAAUUUCAAAAAGUGUGUGUGCUUUUGCCAGUACCUCUUUGCGAAGGGGGAUCGCAUCGGCUGUGUUAUGUUUGCAGAGUUUAGAACUGUUACCUUGUGCGCUCUCUUAUCUUCUCUGUGUAGACGGAUGUUGUAGCGUGUCUCUAUUGGAUAGUAGCUUUGCUGCCGCUAAACUCCACAUAUAGCCGGGUGAAGUUUAUACCGCCCACCAGUGAGGAUAGCUGGUCUUGUCUCGCAAGUACGUGCCAAUGGUACUUACCCUCGCCUUCCUUUCUUUUUGUCUCCUCCCCCUUUUGUCGGCAACCGAUGGCCCGACUUUGAUAGGUACGAGAUGACGACGUUAGCAAGGUUAUCCUUUCGGCUUGGCCUGGGCAGGGUUAUGGACGCCACUGGUUAUCUUCAGGACUCUUAGUCCAAUUUGAAUCUUGUCCGUACUCGGACGUAUUUGAUCUUCUGUAUGAUUUGGAUCUUUGUAUGUAUCUAUUUGUAUCUUGACUCGUUGGAGUCGUUGUUGUAAUAUAUGUUUCUUGUGGGCUCUAUUGUAAUCCUGUUGUAAUGUUACCGCUCGUGUUAAUUCCUCUGGCAUCACGUGUGUGA
Non-coding RNA from Lolium perenne, 1575 nucleotides. The record is from RefSeq and is a predicted model, not a curated record. Lineage: Eukaryota; Viridiplantae; Streptophyta; Magnoliopsida; Poales; Poaceae.